RNAcentral lists this unclassified non-coding RNA (269 nucleotides) under Hevea brasiliensis (rubber tree). The record is from RNAcentral. Lineage: Eukaryota; Viridiplantae; Streptophyta; Magnoliopsida; Malpighiales; Euphorbiaceae.
AAAAGUGGGAAAUUAGGCGAAAUCAAUAAAGGAAAAAAGAAAACCAAUGCAUAAGAAAUUCAGUCGACGAUAGAAAUUGCAGUCACAAUUGAAAUUGAAAGCCCGUAGUUCUUGCAGAAAAGGACACAAAAAAAAUCUCAAGCAAGAUAAUGUUGGUCUACAAAACAUAAAGUUCAUUUUAAAUUCAGUGUAGAGAGCAACUGCUGAAAAAAGUUCAAAUGAGUAAGCAGCAAAAGAAAAAAAAAAGCAUUUAGAAAAAGCUAUAAAUA